Molecule: ribosomal RNA, 253 nt
Filed under: uncultured bacterium
Lineage: Bacteria
Description: partial 16S ribosomal RNA
Rfam family: Bacterial small subunit ribosomal RNA
Source: RNAcentral
UACGUAGGUGGCAAGCGUUGUUCGGAAUUACUGGGCGUAAAGCGCGCGUAGGCGGCUCUUCAAGUCAGGCGUGAAAGCCCCGAGCUUAACUCGGGAACUGCGCUUGAUACUGUCGAGCUAGAGUGUGGAAGGGGCGAUUGGAAUUCCGUGUGUAGCGGUGAAAUGCGUAGAUAUACGGAGGAACACCAGAGGCGAAGGCGGAUCGCUGGGCCAACACUGACGCUGAUGUGCGAAAGCUAGGGGAGCAAACGGG